This 521-nucleotide ribosomal RNA is filed under the name uncultured bacterium. Its description in RNAcentral is "bacterial SSU rRNA". It matches the Rfam family "Bacterial small subunit ribosomal RNA", at positions 332 to 870 of the family's 1533-position model. The record is from RNAcentral.
CAGACUCCUACGGGAGGCAGCAGUGGGGAAUAUUGGACAAUGGGCGAAAGCCUGAUCCAGCAAUGCCGCGUGAGUGAAGAAGGCCUUCGGGUUGUAAAGCUCUUUUACCCGGGAUGAUAAUGACCGUACCGGGAGAAUAAGCCCCGGCUAACUCCGUGCCAGCAGCCGCGGUAAUACGGAGGGGGCUAGCGUUGUUCGGAAUCACUGGGCGUAAAGCGUACGUAGGCGGCUAUUCAAGUCAGAGGUGAAAGCCUGGGGCUCAACCCCAGAACUGCCUUUGAAACUAGGUAGCUAGAACACGGGAGAGGUGAGUGGAAUUCCGAGUGUAGAGGUGAAAUUCGUAGAUAUUCGGAAGAACACCAGUGGCGAAGGCGGCUCACUGGACCGUUGUUGACGCUGAGGUACGAAAGCGUGGGGAGCAAACAGGAUUAGAUACCCUGGUAGUCCACGCCGUAAACGAUGAGAACUAGCUGUCGGGGCUCUUAGAGCUUCGGUGGCGCAGCUAACGCAUUAAGUUCUCC